Molecule: transfer RNA, 78 nt
Filed under: Gammaproteobacteria bacterium
Lineage: Bacteria; Pseudomonadati; Pseudomonadota; Gammaproteobacteria
Description: tRNA-Leu
Rfam family: tRNA
About the family: Transfer RNA (tRNA) molecules are approximately 80 nucleotides in length.
Source: RNAcentral
GCCGGGGUGAUGCAAUCUGGCAGACAUCCCUGACUCAGACUCAGGGUCAUGUGGGUUCGACCCCCACCCCCGGUACCA